GACGAACGCUGGCGGCGUGCUUAACACAUGCAAGUCGAACGGAAAGGCCCUGCUUUUGUGGGGUGCUCGAGUGGCGAACGGGUGAGUAACACGUGAGUAACCUGCCCUUGACUUUGGGAUAACUUCAGGAAACUGGGGCUAAUACCGGAUAGGAGCUCCUGCUGCAUGGUGGGGGUUGGAAAGUUUCGGCGGUUGGGGAUGGACUCGCGGCUUAUCAGCUUGUUGGUGGGGUAGUGGCUUACCAAGGCUUUGACGGGUAGCCGGCCUGAGAGGGUGACCGGUCACAUUGGGAAUGAGAUACGGCCCAGACUCCUACGGGAGGCAGCAGUGGGGAAUAUUGCACAAUGGGCGGAAGCCUGAUGCAGCAACGCCGCGUGCGGGAUGACGGCCUUCGGGUUGUAAACCGCUUUCGCCUGUGACGAAGCGUGAGUGACGGUAAUGGGUAAAGAAGCACCGGCUAACUACGUG
Molecule: ribosomal RNA, 468 nt
Filed under: uncultured bacterium
Lineage: Bacteria
Description: partial 16S ribosomal RNA
Rfam family: Bacterial small subunit ribosomal RNA
Source: RNAcentral